RNAcentral lists this ribosomal RNA (207 nucleotides) under Clostridioides difficile. RNAcentral's name for it is "partial 23S ribosomal RNA". It matches the Rfam family "Bacterial large subunit ribosomal RNA", at positions 2286 to 2492 of the family's 2925-position model. Lineage: Bacteria; Bacillati; Bacillota; Clostridia; Peptostreptococcales; Peptostreptococcaceae. The record is from RNAcentral.
CCUCCCAAAAGGUAACGGAGGCGCGCAAAGGUUCUCUCAGUACGGUCGGAAAUCGUACGUAGAGUGUAAAGGCAAAAGAGAGCUUGAUUGCAAGACAUACAGGUCGAGCAAGGAUGAAAAUCGGACUGAGUGAUCCGGUGGUUCUGCGUGGAAGGGCCAUCGCUCAACGGAUAAAAGCUACCCUGGGGAUAACAGGCUUAUCUCCCC